RNAcentral lists this ribosomal RNA (460 nucleotides) under uncultured bacterium. Its description in RNAcentral is "partial 16S ribosomal RNA". It matches the Rfam family "Bacterial small subunit ribosomal RNA", at positions 338 to 795 of the family's 1533-position model. The record is from RNAcentral.
CCUACGGGAGGCAGCAGUGAGGAAUAUUGGUCAAUGGACGAGAGUCUGAACCAGCCAAGUAGCGUGAAGGAUGACUGCCCUAUGGGUUGUAAACUUCUUUUAUAAAGGAAUAAAACGAGGCACGUGUGCCUUUUUGCAUGUACUUUAUGAAUAAGGAUCGGCUAACUCCGUGCCAGCAGCCGCGGUAAUACGGAGGAUCCGAGCGUUAUCCGGAUUUAUUGGGUUUAAAGGGAGCGUAGAUGGGUUGUUAAGUCAGUUGUGAAAGGUUGCGGCUCAACCGUAAAAUUGCAAUUGAUACUGGCAGUCUUGAGUACAGUUGAGGUAGGCGGAAUUCGGGGUGUAGCGGUGAAAUGCUUAGAUAUCACGAAGAACCCCGAUUGCGAAGGCAGCUUACUAAACUGUGACUGACAUUGAUGCUCGAAAGUGUGGGUAUCAAACAGGAUUAGAUACCCCAGUAGUC